GACGAACGCUGGCGGCGUGCCUAAUACAUGCAAGUAGAACGCACAGUUUAUACCGUAGCUUGCUACACCAUAAACUGUGAGUUGCGAACGGGUGAGUAACGCGUAGGUAACCUGCCUGGUAGCGGGGGAUAACUAUUGGAAACGAUAGCUAAUACCGCAUAAUAUUGAUUAUUGCAUGAUAAUUGAUUGAAAGAUGCUAUUGCAUCACUACCAGAUGGACCUGCGUUGUAUUAGCUAGUAGGUGAGGUAACGGCUCACCUAGGCGACGAUACAUAGCCGACCUGAGAGGGUGAUCGGCCACACUGGGACUGAGACACGGCCCAGACUCCUACGGGAGGCAGCAGUAGGGAAUCUUCGGCAAUGGACGAAAGUCUGACCGAGCAACGCCGCGUGAGUGAAGAAGGUUUUCGGAUCGUAAAGCUCUGUUGUAAGUGAAGAACGGGUGUGAGAGUGGAAAGUUCACACUGUGACGGUAUCUUACCAGAAAGGGACGGCUAACUACGUG
This 505-nucleotide ribosomal RNA is filed under the name uncultured bacterium. RNAcentral's name for it is "partial 16S ribosomal RNA". It matches the Rfam family "Bacterial small subunit ribosomal RNA", at positions 28 to 507 of the family's 1533-position model. The record is from RNAcentral.